RNAcentral lists this ribosomal RNA (253 nucleotides) under uncultured bacterium. RNAcentral describes it as "partial 16S ribosomal RNA". It matches the Rfam family "Bacterial small subunit ribosomal RNA", at positions 524 to 776 of the family's 1533-position model. The record is from RNAcentral.
UACGUAGGGGGCAAGCGUUGUCCGGAUUUAUUGGGCGUAAAGAGCGUGUAGGCGGCCUGACAGGUCUGCUGUGAAAACUCGAGGCUCAACCUCGAGAUGUCGGCGGAAACCGUCUGGCUAGAGUCCGGAAGAGGAGAGUGGAAUUCCUGGUGUAGCGGUGAAAUGCGCAGAUAUCAGGAGGAACACCGGUGGCGAAGGCGGCGACCUGGGUCGAUACUGACGCUGAUGCGCGAAAGCGUGGGGAGCAAACAGG